Molecule: long non-coding RNA, 274 nt
Filed under: Brassica napus (rape)
Lineage: Eukaryota; Viridiplantae; Streptophyta; Magnoliopsida; Brassicales; Brassicaceae
Description: long non-coding RNA (BNAP_LNC026742)
Source: RNAcentral
UCUAAUCUUUAUUAAUGUUGAGAUUACAAUAUAUAUAGGUCCAUACACUUAGGGUUUUCGAAACAUAAGGAUAAGCAAGCAUGUGAAGGCAAUGGAAGAGCUGAUGCUUUAAUUCAAACCAGCCAAUGGGAGUCCUCACAUGUUUGGGCAUCUUUCUGAUCCAAAGCAAAGAUGCUCUUCCUUUCCGGCUCUUGCCAGUCUGUCCUAGCUGUCAAGCCGCGCCUCCCUUAUCUAUUCCAACGUUUGGAUAAGGUUUUGGUCGAAUGUAAUUUCA